Molecule: long non-coding RNA, 1824 nt
Organism: Gallus gallus (chicken)
Lineage: Eukaryota; Metazoa; Chordata; Aves; Galliformes; Phasianidae
Source: Ensembl
CAGGCUGAACAGCCCCAGCUCUCUCAGCCUGUCCUCAAAGGAGAGGUGUUCCAUCCCUUGGAUAUUUUUGUGGCCCUCCUCUGGACACACUCCAACAGGUCCACAUCUCUCCUGUACUGAGGACCCCACAUCUGGACACAGCAUUCCAAAAUGUUACCAUGCUGUUAAUUUUGAAUGUAUACGUGCGUGUGCUACAUCAGCUGCUGCCAAAAUGGAACUAGGAAUUGCAAAGCAUUCAGCAAAGAUUCCUGAACAGGGGUGGGCUGGUUUCUUGGAUCUCCUCUCUGUUCCUUCACAACAAAUCUCACAGAGGCCAAGACUUGGGUGGCUGUGAGUUCUGGAACAGGAGCAGCGCAAAAGAAACAAAACCAAGGCAGCAGACAUAACAACACCGUCAGUUAUUCACAACAUCCACGAUGGUUGGGGUCACCCCGCCCUUGGCUGCAGCAGACUCCGACUCUGCCUAUUCUCAGGCUCUGUCAAGGAGAUGUACGCAGGCUGUGCAGCUCUGCCAUGGCUCACGCAGUGCACAGAAGGAGCAGGCAGCGUUAGCGAAGGAGAACCCUGGCCUUGGUACGUGGUGUGGGGUUAUGUGUGCCUCAGCACUUCCUGAGCGCUAAAACUGGUAUCUGCUACACAGAAAACCCUGUCCUUGGGAAGAAGGGGAAGAUUCCCUAUGAGGCAUGAUAUUCCUGUGAUUUCAUCUCCAAUAAGAAACCAGUCUGACCAUGACUCAGUUUACAGUAAAGGACACUCUUGCUGCCUUAUUUCAAGGUGAUUGAUGUUGGCACGUUUCUUCAGAUCCCUACUGCUGGGUUGGCAAAAAAAAUGCAGUGUCUUUGUAGUCAUCAAGAACAUUGGCAUUCCCUCUCCUUACAGUGAACAAAUGGCUGCAAAAAAGGUUGAACAAUGUUUUUUUUUCUUUUUCUUUUUGUCUUUAGCAGCUGUUUACAAAUGUCCUACCAGCUGUGCACAAAAGGUAUUUUGUUGAAGGUGGAAAAUGCCUCAAAAUCCACACCUACUGAGCAUUCAAUGCCCAAAGUGAUUGUGCAGCAGACCAGAGGUGCAUCUCCCAUGGAAGACAGUGAUGUGACAGAACAAGAUGUCAAAAAAAAAAAGCCAAAAUAUUGAGGAUGGAGUCACCUUGCUGUAUUUUUCCUCCAUCCGUCUGUUCUACCUCUCCAGCUUGCUGAGAACUGCCCUUUAGCGAGUGUUUGCAUUGCCACAUAGUGUACACACAGUGCUCCCACGAAGGAUGAAAGGUUUCAAGUGCACAGGUGAAGGUGAGUGAGGCGAUGACAGCAGAGUGCCCUGUUAGUGACCUGCUGCUGCUGCUGCACCGUGCAGCGGUGCGGGGACACAUCUCAGAAGGAGCAGCACUGAUUGAGGCAGGGAGUGCUGUUUCUCUGGCACUAACGGAGUUUCCUGCUGCAAGGACAGCACACCAGUUCCUCUGGCAGAAGUGAGCUUACUGAUGGAGAUGAAAGCUUGAGCUUUCAGUCAGGUUCUAGCUGAUCUGGCACACUGACGUCAUUACUUCUGGAAAAGAAACAAAGAUAGAUUUUCCCUGUGCAAUGAGAACAGUUUCCAGUAAAAUUUUCCAUGUUUGUAGGUGCAUACAGGAGAAAAUGCAUUACCAACCUGUCUGUUUGCUGCCUGACAGCUGCUUCUUUUGAGGCCAUGGGGGACGGAGACUCACAGUGAUACUCAGGCCUCCUGCAUGAGGUACUGCUUGGUCUCCAAAUACAACAGGAGUGUCCUGGGACGUGCAUUAGGAGCAUUUUAAUGCUAUCAGAAGUUGCAUACCUUCUUAAUUAAUCACAG